Molecule: long non-coding RNA, 2314 nt
Organism: Clupea harengus (Atlantic herring)
Lineage: Eukaryota; Metazoa; Chordata; Actinopteri; Clupeiformes; Clupeidae
Source: Ensembl
AAAAAUGUGGAAAAGAUGAAGGGGCCUGAAUCCUUUCUGAAUGCACGGUCUAGUGUUUAUCGGGCGAACAUCAAGGGAUACAGGAGCUAAUGGUAGGAGCACAACUUGCAUGGACAAUGAUUUCCUUUGGCAUGAUCUUGACUUUCAGGAUCUGAUACGAUACAAUAUACCUACCAUACUAAUGUGGAUCCAAUGCUUUGACUUGAACCACAAAUUUAGGAGGGCCUGAUUAUUGUACAGGUAGCUGUUCAGCCAUAGUGGGAAAUCUCCAUGAACUAGUAGUGACGGUUAUAUACAUUAUCUUCAUCAGUGGGACUAGGUUGUGACAUUCAAAUAAACUUUAAUUGGAAUGAACUGAUCUAGUCGCCGAAUAACUGUUUUUGUAACAAUUCCAAUCCAUUAUAACAUGCCUUUAUAGAAGGUGGUGAGUUAGGGCUUUUGCAUGGCCUGUUAAGUACAAAGCUAAAAUGUGCAAGAAAAAAGAUAAAGAACAUCAAGAUAGACACACUGGGUUUGUGUAUUUGGUUUAUUUCCAAGUAUUUCUUCCCCUGUCUUGUAGACCACAGUCAGCAAGUAGCCUAUCGUCACAGAGGACACCUGAUUGUUUUGUUUUUUUUUCUCUUCAAACUCAUUCUACUAGUUUCUUCUUUUAUCUAAAAUAUUAAAACUCAGAGCAGGAUAUUAGAGAUGUGGUUUUCUCAGCAGGGUGACUGUGAAGCGGUGAAACUGCAGUACCUCUUCCCCUCCCCUAGGGGGAGACAGUCCGGAGAGCAUUAGUCGGGGUAGGACUGUGUCUACUACACAGUCAAGUGUUUGCCAGUUCUGCCCGAGGCAAGUGUUUCUGUCCAUUCUUCAUCUUUGUCCUCAGGAGUCAAGCGAGAGACAUAAAGUGGCAAAAGUAAAGGCUUCCAUUUCGUGACGGGGUUGAGCCAGGAAACAACUCAAAUGGCGUGAGAUGCAAUUACUUUCAUUCCCAAGCCCUGCCCCACACAAAUAAAGCCAAGGCAAGAGACAAGCAAAAAUAGACUGUUGAAAAUGAACACAAAUUCACGAGAAAGCAAGUUACAAAAUACCCUCAAGGGUAUAAAAGAAGACAAAAAUAAAAUUUGGAUAUAUUGAGUAUGGGGGGGGGGGGGGGGGGAGGCGGGAGAGGGUGAAUAUAUGAAGUACAAAAAAAGAAAAUAAUUUUACUGUACAAGUGCUUGGAUCCUAUGAUGCUUUUUAUCAUUACUGAAUAAUUUGCCCUCUAUCAUGAGGUUGGCCACACCGCUCCAACCACUUACCAUGCAGCUUCAUUACACAAGAGACUUGUCAGUUCAACUAGAUAACCAGCUUUACAAUUACUGUGGCAGGGGACUCUGGGAAGUAAAACCAAGAAUUCGUUUGGUGGAAUUUAAAUGCAUGUUUAAGAAUCUGACUGGCCUGAUGGUGGCAGUUGCAACGACUGCAGAGAGCUGACCAAAGAUCUGAAGUCAUUUUGACUUUGACCGUCUUUUUUUAAAUACAACUUGGACAGCAAUGAAUACUCUGCACUCCCAGUGAUUUGAUUGGUACAUCCUUUUUUUUUUUCCUGGACUGGUGGUUACUGUUGGUUACAACUGAGCACUCACAAAAGAGCUGUAGAGGUUUAAAAUGAUGUGUAUGGUACAUUGAAACAUUGAUGGCUGCCUAAGAGCGAAAAAAAAAGAAAGAUUUGGAAGGUUCCAGAAUAUGCAAGUGGUCAGUACAUGAACAAUGGAUGGCACUCAGGUUUCAGUAUAUCACAAGAAAAGGUCAAAGGUCAACCAACAGCUAAGAAGCCAUGAAGUAGCAACCAGCCAUCUGAAAGGCAGCUAGAGUGGGCAAAGAGGUUUGAGGCUAACUGCUUCCUCUUCACAAAAAUCUCUCUCCUCGGGCCAACCGUCAGCCCCUGUUUGUCAUCUAACCAAAAGCACAUUAGUCCCCCUAAAAAAAAAAAAAAAUAAAAAAAUCUGUAACCAGUAAUAAAAUGUAAGAUUUAAAAAUGAAAGCAAAAGUAAAAAAUAAACUUCAAAUACAAUUCAAACGAAACAAAUAAAAUAAAAGACAACGGUAUCUAGAUGAAUGCAGAGAAAGCUUAAGGUGAGGCCGAAAGGAAACUCCGCUUCCCAUGUUUCUCCUACAGGAGGUCUGUAGGCUAACAUGUUCUCCUGCAGGAGGUCUGUAGGCUAACAUGUUCUCCUGCAGGAGGUCUGUAGGCUGACAUGUUCUCCUGCAGGAGGUCUGUAGGCUGACAUGUUCUCCUGCAGGAGGUCUGUAGGCUGACAUGUUCUCCUGCAGGAGGUCUGUAGGCUGA